This 72-nucleotide transfer RNA is filed under the name Camelus bactrianus (Bactrian camel). It matches the Rfam family "tRNA". From Rfam's summary of the family: Transfer RNA (tRNA) molecules are approximately 80 nucleotides in length. Their secondary structure includes four short double-helical elements and three loops (D, anti-codon, and T loops). Further hydrogen bonds mediate the characteristic L-shaped molecular structure. tRNAs have two regions of fundamental functional importance: the anti-codon, which is responsible for specific mRNA codon recognition, and the 3' end, to which the tRNAs corresponding amino acid is attached (by aminoacyl-tRNA synthetases). tRNAs cope with the degeneracy of the genetic code in two manners: having more than one tRNA (with a specific anti-codon) for a particular amino acid; and 'wobble' base-pairing, i.e. permitting non-standard base-pairing at the 3rd anti-codon position. Lineage: Eukaryota; Metazoa; Chordata; Mammalia; Artiodactyla; Camelidae. RNAcentral also lists the same sequence under 2 other names. The record is from Rfam by way of RNAcentral.
GACGGUGUAGCUCAGUGGUAGAGCGCAUGCUUAGCAUGCAUGAGGUCCUGGGUUCAAUCUCCAGUACCUCCA